CUUCUUAUUGUCUUCUUGUUUUCCUCUUCUUCGCCUCCUCCUUCUCCUUCUCAUCCUCCUCCUCCUCCUCCUUCUUCUUCUUCUUCUUCUCCUUCUUCUUCUCUUCUUAUUCUCUUCUUGUUUUCCUCUUCUUCGCCUCCUCCUUCUCCUUCUCAUCCUCCUCCUCCUCCUCCUUCUUCUUCUUCUUCUUCUCCUUCUUCUCUUCUUGCUUCUUCUCUUUCUUGUUCUACGUAGCUUCUUUUCCC
This 245-nucleotide long non-coding RNA is filed under the name Hordeum vulgare. Its description in RNAcentral is "long non-coding RNA (HVUL_LNC000598)". Lineage: Eukaryota; Viridiplantae; Streptophyta; Magnoliopsida; Poales; Poaceae. The record is from RNAcentral.